Molecule: ribosomal RNA, 255 nt
Filed under: uncultured bacterium
Lineage: Bacteria
Description: partial 16S ribosomal RNA
Rfam family: Bacterial small subunit ribosomal RNA
Source: RNAcentral
GACGUAGGUGGCGAACGUUAUCCGGAAUUAUUGGGCGUAAAGGAUGCGUAGAUGGUGUAGUAAGUUAUCGGUGGUAAAUCGAGGCUCAACCUCGUGGAAGUCGGUAAUACUGCUAUGCUAGAGGAUAGGAGAGGUUAACGGAACUCCCUGUGGAGCGGUGAAAUGCGUAGAUAUAGGGAAGAACACCAAUAAGGCGAAGGCAGUUAACUAUUCUAUUCCUGACAGUGAGGCAUGAAAGCGUGGGGAGCAAAACGG